This is a long non-coding RNA of Centruroides sculpturatus (bark scorpion), 151 nucleotides long. RefSeq lists it as uncharacterized. Lineage: Eukaryota; Metazoa; Arthropoda; Arachnida; Scorpiones; Buthidae. The transcript is spliced from 3 exons. The record is from RefSeq and is a predicted model, not a curated record.
AGCGCAAGUGUGCGAGAGUUUUUUCUACGACGCUUUUCUCUCGUUGAACUACAUUCAAGAUGAUGCUAAUGCUGGAAUUAUGCUACAUUUUGAUAACUUACGGUAAACUGACUUAUAAAAAUCCCACAGAUUUCGAAAAGGAACUGCCGAG